RNAcentral lists this unclassified non-coding RNA (5134 nucleotides) under Anneissia japonica. Its description in RNAcentral is "hyalin-like, transcript variant X3". The record is from RNAcentral. Lineage: Eukaryota; Metazoa; Echinodermata; Crinoidea; Comatulida; Comatulidae.
AUGUUCAAACGGUGAAUAUAUAAUUUCCGAGGGUGGUUGCUUCCGAUUGACUAAUAAUUAUUAUAGUUUUACGCGUGCGGACGGUGUAUGCGAAUAUUAUUAUGACGGCAAUCUAGCGUCCGUCCAUUCCGAGGAAGCACACAACUAUCUCAAAUCAUAUAUGAUGGACCGCUAUGAAUCUGUAGCCUGGAUAGGUCUUACAUAUUCACAAGACACUGGUAGUUGGGGCUGGCUGGACGAAACUCCUCUGGACUAUAAUGCCUUUGGAAGCGAUUGGUUAUUAAACCUAGAUGGAACAGAGGAGUGUGCAGUUAUGCUUGACGAAGUUGACUAUAGAUGGGAGGAAAGCCACUGUUCUCGGUACAGACGAGGGUUCUGUAAACAACCAGCUUUCCUGUCACCUAAAAUGCAUAACUGUCCGCAAAACAUCAACGUCAACAGUGAUGCAAACAGCAACGAAGCGCACGUGACGUGGACAGAUCCGACCGCGACCAGUGACGCAGGUGGAUCUGUCAGUAGUCUGGUUAGGUCUCAUCAGUCGGGAGACGCAUUUCCAAUAGGAGUGACAACGGUAACCAUCAGCGCUUCCAAUGAUGUAGGGACGUCUUCCUGCAGAUUUUCAAUUCGUGUCAGAGACAACGAGCAUCCGGUAUACACUAACUGCCCAAGCAAUGACGUAGUGAUUGACAUCCCAACUGGUCAGGCUACUUACACGUAUAAUUCACCUAAUCCAACAGCGACUGAUAAUGAUGCCAUCAGGAGUAACACCUGCACAGGUGAAGCAUGCCAGGGAGAUGUGCUUGCUCCUGGAACCUACCAAAUGCAUUACGUAGCCGAUGAUACUACACGAUGUAAUGGAAAAGGGCAUUGCCGAUAUAAUUUAAUUAUAAGAGAUGUUGAACCCCCUACAAUAACUUGUGGUGCAGACAUUGUGCAAAACACAGACUCGGAUCAAAAUGACGCCAUUGUCACUUGGUCUGAUCCUGAGACAACCGACAACGUUGGUGUAGCAAACGUAGUGUGUACACCUGCCUCAGGUGACCAAGUGACAAUCGGUGCAACAGACGUAGAAUGCACGGUCUCUGAUGCUGCAGGGAACACGGACACGUGCUCAUUCACUGUAACUGUUGAAGACAAUCAACAACCGUCUAUAAUAUAUUGUCCAGUUAUCGUGACGAACUCACUAGAACCCAACAACCCUUGGGCAGUAGCUGAGUGGAAUCCCGAAUUCGAAGAUAACUCAGACCAUUUUUCAAUAACCAGCAGUCACACAAGCGGCCAACAGUUUCCUCUUGGGCAGACAACCGUAGUGGUGACAGCUACAGACGCAGCCGAGAACAGUGCCACGUGCACAUUUAGUGUUGAGAUUAACGACAAUACACCACCGGUGUUUACGAACUGUCCUACUAGCAUCACUGUAAACGCACCACUUGGGGAGGCUUUUGCAGUCGUUUCAUGGCCUUUGUUGGUGGCAACGGAUAACAGUCAGGAUCCCCCCAUAUUUAAUGAGACCAGUACAGAGGGCUCGUUUGGAAUUGGUAACACUCGCCUGGCAUUCAGCGCAACAGAUGGCUCUGAUAAUACUGGACUAUGCGUGUUUAGUAUCACGGUUAUAGACGAUGAACGUCCUUUAUUUACAUUUUGUCCCCCUGAUGUUUAUAUUUCGACUGAGGUCGGCUUACCGUCUGCGUCCGCAAACUGGAUUGAACCAGUUGCUGAGGACAAUUCCGGCCUAGCGCCAACGAUUUACCAAACAAGAGCUUCUGGAGAGCGGUUUUGGAUAGGGACAGAGACCGUAACUUAUGUAGCUACUGAUACGUCUUAUAAUAACAACACUUGUGCUUUCAUUGUAGUUGUUAACGAUGACGAACCACCUCAGAUUUCAAAUUGCUCUGAUAAUAUUGAGGAAUCAGCUCCGGAUACUAGUAAUUUUGCAAUCGUUACAUGGUUACCGCCAGAUAUUACCGACAAUUCUGGAAGUACGCCAACCGUCACCGCCAACUUCCAGCCUGGUGAUAGUUUCAUUCUUGGAGAAACGCGCGUUAUUUACAAUGCAACAGACGAUGCGAUGAACGCAAACACAUGCACAUUUACAAUCACGAUCAGUGAUAUUACUCCUCCAGUGUUUGUCAAUUGUCCGUCUGACAUGAUGACGAAUUCAGAUCCAAAUGAGGCGACGACUAUUGUAACUUGGGAUCUGUUGAACUCCACGGACAAUAGUGGUUUGAUCCCAACAAUCAGUGACCCGGAUUUAACUUCGAUAGAACUUCGAAUAGGAAUUCACCAGAUAGUAUUCACUGCUGAAGAUACGUUUGGGAAUAUCGAUUUCUGUCAAUUUAACGUUACAGUUAUAGAUAAUGAACCACCGGUGUUUCUCAACUGUCCGAACAAUCGAACUGUUUCAACGGAUCACAGAAUGUCCACGGCAACAGUCAACUGGGACGAGCUUGUAAUCACAGAUAAUUCUGGAGACCCGAUUACCGUGCACCACUCACAUCUGACAGGCCACGGUUUCCCAAUAGGUUACCACACUGUAAACAUUACUGCCGUGGACUCAUCAUGGAACUCUGUAACUUGUAUCUUUAAUGUUUUAAUCGAAGAUUCUGAGGCUCCUGUGUUUCACAACUGUCCCACGGACAUUUUCCUCGAGACGCUGCACAGGUCUUCCUUCAACAACGGAUACUGGGAUGAUGUCGAAAUAACCGACAAUUCUGGCUUGACAUCAAAUGUUACCACGAAUUAUGAGUCGGGAGACGUAUUCUAUCUUGGCCAGUCACAUGUUGUUUACAGCGCUACUGACGCUGCUUCUAAUAUGGAAAACUGCUCAUUCACUGUUGUAGUGCUUGAUACUGAAAACCCAUAUUUUACGUUCUGCCCUCCGGAUAUUUCGAUCAAUACUGAAAACGGGGUGAAUACUGCAGUGGUAAAUUGGAAUUCUCCCAAUGCAUCUGAUAAUUCUCAAAUCGAGCCUGUCAUCACCUCAGAUUAUAAUUCUGGGGAUAUAUUUCAGAUGCAUAUAACUACAGUUACAUACAAAGCUAGAGAUGAUGCGGGGAAUAUUGGAAUAUGUCAGUUCGAAGUAGAUGUAAUCGACAAUGAACCGCCGUACUUCAUCAAUAUGACUGGUGACAUAGAGAUUUUCAUUGAUGCUACAAAAACUAACACAUCUGUAGAAUGGAAGGAACCUCUGGCUGCUGAUAAUUCUUUGAUCGAGCCAACAAUUUCAUCAACACGCACAUCUGGGGACAUUUUUAGUAUUGGAGUUACUAGAGUUGUUUAUACUGCAGUAGACCAACUUGGAAACGAGAGAAGUUUCACAUUUUCUGUGAAUAUUCGCGUGGCAUUCGCUAAUUUAGAAUCAUUGAUCAAUGGAACAUCUGAAGGAGACAUUCUGCAUAUAUCUGCAAUUGCUUCGAAUUUGGCAAAUACAAGACCACUCUCAACAGAAGAAAUUGAACAGUUAGCGUCCGUCCUUACUGUAAUGGCAUCCGAAGAUGUUGUAUCAGAUCGAGAAGUAGAGGAAAUUACUGAGGAUGUUGUUGCUGUGACCAACGCCGUUCUAAAUAACAAUAAGGAAAUCAAAAAACAAGUUGAUAUCAUCAUUGCUACAGAGAAGUUGAUUCAAAAAGUUGUUAUUACAGAGAUGAACACAAGUUUCGUCCGGCCGUCGGGCAAAGUUGUUUCCAAUAUUGGACCGAUUGAUGCUUUCAAAUGGUCAUGCCAUUUUAGAGAAGAGGAGGGCGUCCUAAGUUCAACAAGAGACAGUUCUACUGAAAAAGAAUCCAGCGAUAAGUGUUUUGUCAAGUUAGAUCCAAAGUCAGCCAAAGAUAUAACAGAAUCGGCGACAAUUAUUGCUACUUACUACGAUAGGAAAGUGAUUGCUGAAACAACAAGCGAAACAUUUGACAUUGACAGCAGUGACGGUGAUAUCGACGUUGCUUAUACACUUGCAAGUGGUCUUUUGUCAUACAGUAUAUCAAGUAAUAGUACAACAUACUCAGUAGGCGUGGAAUUCUCAAUGGAGUUAGAUCAGACACUUAUACAUUCGGACGUAACGUAUUUCAAAGAAAAUGCACGUUGUGUAUUUUGGGAAGAGAUUAAAAGGGUUUGGUCAACCACCGGCUGUAAACGAACUGGAAGUAGUGGCAACCAUGUUAAAUGUAAAUGUGAACACACGACAACAUUUGGUAUAUUUACCCCGGUUGAUAAACCCGAACAGAACGAUGAGUUCGACUUUGCCAGACUCGGUGAAAGAUUAGGCAUAUACAGUGUGUGCCUUAUCUCGAUGAUAGCAUUAUUAUACAUUAUGAAGUUUAUCAAUUCAACGUGGGGCUUGUUCAGAGGACCUGAAACUGUGUUCAUUUACUCAAAUUUGCUACUGGCAACACUGUGCGUCAUGGUAGCGUUCGUUGUAAAUUCUGAAACUGUUGACUACCCACUCGUUUGCAGUAUAUUCGGCGUACUUCUUCAUUUCUUCUACAUGGCUACUCUUCUCUGGCUAAUUUACGAGAGCAUAUACCUCUUUAUGCGGGCCCACAGGUACAGCAUCACCGGUAGUAUACCGAAAAGGUCGGCCUAUUUUACAUUUGCAUGGGGCGGGGCUGCAGUCAUUGCAGCCAUAUUUUUCGGAAUUCAACAAGGUUACGACGAAAAUGAAGGAUGUUGGUUAAAGUUUGAGACUGGUGGUCUUGUAGCCUUUGUAUUUCCUUCUAUGACUCUCAUUUUUGUGAGAAUAAUUUUACUCACUGUACUUACGGCAUGUAAAAUUGAAGGUGGAAAGCGUGCAGAUGAAAUCAAGUCACACGUGAGGCAUUCUGUACAGUGUUCUGUUUUCUUAGUACCUCAACUCAUCCUUACCUGGGCGUUCAUUGUUCUUGCCGAGAAAGAAUAUAUAUAUUGGCUGCUGUUCUAUAUUUUAUUUUCUUUAAACGGGUUAUCGAUUGCUGCCUAUUGCUACUUCACUAAAGAGAUUACAGACGUGAGAAAUGAGAUGAAAUUUGUCGAGUGAGUGUUAUUCAAAUUGAAUAUGAAACAACCUCAAGUCAAGCGGAACUCAGUCGUUAUGUUGAAGACAUCUCCGUUUGUGAACCCGAGAAAUACGAAGAAAGUCCAGUAGACCUAGCAGUAGAGACGA